RNAcentral lists this ribosomal RNA (234 nucleotides) under uncultured archaeon. RNAcentral describes it as "partial 16S ribosomal RNA". It matches the Rfam family "Archaeal small subunit ribosomal RNA", at positions 321 to 559 of the family's 1478-position model. The record is from RNAcentral.
CCCUACGGGGCGCAGCAGGCGCGAAAACUUUACAAUGCGGGCAACCGUGAUAAGGGAACCUCGAGUGCCUGUAAAUGCAGGCUGUUUAGGUGCUUAAAACGCACCUGGAGAAAGGGCCGGGCAAGACCGGUGCCAGCCGCCGCGGUAAUACCGGCGGCUCGAGUGGUGGCCGCUUUUAUUGGGCUUAAAGCGUUCGUAGCUGGGUUGUUAAGUCUCUUGGGAAAUCUGGCGGCU